AUUGCCUCAGUAACGGCGAGUGAAGCGGCAACAGCUCAAAUUUGAAAUCUGGCGGCCUCUGGGCCGUCCGAGUUGUAAUUUGAAGAGGAUGCUUUUGGCGAGGCGCCUUCCGAGUGCCCUGGAACGGGACGCCACAGAGGGUGAGAGCCCCGUAUGGUUGGACGCCGAGCCUCUGUAAAGCUCCUUCGACGAGUCGAGUAGUUUGGGAAUGCUGCUCAAAAUGGGAGGUAAACCCCUUCUAAAGCUAAAUACUGGCCAGAGACCGAUAGCGCACAAGUAGAGUGAUCGAAAGAUGAAAAGCACUUUGAAAAGAGAGUUAAAUAGCACGUGAAAUUGUUGAAAGGGAAGCGCUUGCGACCAGACUUGUGCCCGUCGAAUCAGCCGCCGCUCGCCGGCGGCGCACUUCGGCGGGCUCAGGCCAGCAUCAGUUCGCUGCAGGGGGAGAAAGGCGGCGGGAAUGUGGCUCUUCGGAGUGUUAUAGCCCGCCGCGCAAUACCCCUCGGCGGACUGAGGACCGCGCAUCUGCAAGGAUGCUGGCGUAAUGGUCGUCAGCGACCCGUCUUGAAACACGGACCAAGGAGUCGUCCUAAUAUGCGAGUGUUCGGGUGUAAAACCCCUGCGCGUAAUGAAAGUGAACGGAGGUGAGAGCUUCGGCGCAUCAUCGACCGAUCCUGAUGUUCUCGGAUGGAUUUGAGUAAGAGCAUAUUGGGCCGGACCCGAAAGAAGGUGAACUAUGCCUGUAUAGGGUAAAGCCAGAGGAAACUCUGGUGGAGGCUCGCAGCGGUUCUGACGUGCAAAUCGAUCGUCAAAUAUGGGCAUGGGGGCGAAAGACUAAUCGAACCUUCU
This 846-nucleotide ribosomal RNA is filed under the name Scedosporium apiospermum. Its description in RNAcentral is "eukaryotic LSU rRNA". It matches the Rfam family "Eukaryotic large subunit ribosomal RNA", at positions 74 to 945 of the family's 3401-position model. The record is from RNAcentral. Lineage: Eukaryota; Fungi; Ascomycota; Sordariomycetes; Microascales; Microascaceae.